This 4798-nucleotide long non-coding RNA is filed under the name Sus scrofa (pig). RNAcentral describes it as "lncRNA (ENSSSCG00015000271.1)". The record is from RNAcentral. Lineage: Eukaryota; Metazoa; Chordata; Mammalia; Artiodactyla; Suidae.
UUUUUCUUUUUCUUUUUUUUUGUCUUUUUUAGAGCUGUACGCAUGGCAUAUGGAAGUUCCCAGGCCAGGGGUCCAGUCAGAACUGUAGCUGCUAGCCUACGCCACAGCCACAACAGGUCCAAGCCAUGUCUGCAACCUACGCCACAGCUCAUGGCAACAAUGGAUCCUUAACCCACUGAGAGAGGCCAGGGAUCGAACCCCCGUCCUCAUGAAUAUUAUUUGAGUGCCUUACUGCUGAGCCAAGAUGGGAGCUCUGCACCCAGAAAUCUGCAUUUGACUGAUUAGGAUUCAGAGACAGCACAGACAACAUCCUACGGAAUUUCUUUGCAGCAGACAAAAAUCAACAAUAAUAAAACACCAAAGAAAGAAGACAACGGGCUGAGUUUUCUACAGUGUAUUUGCCCCGAGAGAGUUAAACGGAGUCAGCGCUUUGCUAUAAUUUAAAAAUACAGUGAUGAUAUUUUACUUGUCUGCUCUAUAAUUGUACCAAAUUAUUUUGUCCCUGAUGAGGAAAUUGUGAAGUUUUUAUGCCCCAGACUUCCCUGCAUCUGCCCAGCCAGUGACGCAGAUGCCGUCAUGGGAUGUCUCUUUUUCAGAUGUUUUUCUAUUCAGGGCACAAUUAUUUCUGUCUUGCAGUGGGAUUUGUCUUUUAAUGAACUCCAUUUACAUUUCUUUUCCCUGCUUUUAGGCUCACCUCAUUGAAUAACAUCACCUCAGGAAGGUUUCACAUGUAUUAUUUCACCGCGGCGUCUCUAAAACUCACGCAGCGUAAUCUCUCUGUGUUUGUUCUGUUCUUCAUGGGUUUGCGUGAUCUUUUUUCAGGUCUUCACAUGCACAUGCAGUGCAAGAGCCCCGUUUGCGCUCUUUUCCCGGUCAUUAAUGCAAUGUGAAGGGCUGGCUGGGCACCAGUUCCUGGGCUUUCCACCAGAUAGCUUCGUCAUCACUUGGCAGAGUGUUACUUACCAUUCACGCCCCCUCGUUUGCCUUCCUGCUGGCAGUUUGCAACCCUUGCAGGAGUCAUCUUAUGAGUCCAUUCGAAUGAAUUUUUAAAUUGAGGUUUUGGGGGGAAGCACCGUAUCAAAUGUUUUGCUGAAAUUGAACAUCCCUGAUGUCCAUGUUGCACCCCAUAGUCAAUUCCAAAAAAAGUUAACCCGUCGCAUCUGUCUAGACGGACAAACACGAUCCCAUUUUUCUCGGACUUGCCAGGAGGUGACAGCCAUGUUGGUGCCAUGCUUAUUACAGGCGCCUCCGUAAAGUGGUAACUGAGAUGGCUCAUGUGACACCUCCCAGGUGAUUGGUUAUAGAAAAGUUACUGCAUAUGAACGAGAGAGUCUUAAAACUCCUCUGUGCUCUGCCCAUCUCUGCACCCUCCCCACCCUCCAGCAGCCACAUUUACCAAUUUUUAGCAAGACAAUAUAGAUCAGGACUGGACAGAUUACAGCCACAGACCAAGUCUACACCUGCCCGCUCAUGUGCAUAUGGUCUAUGGCUGCUUCCUCCCCGGACAGAGGAAUUGAAUAGUCGUGCUAGAGGCUCAUGUCCUUCAGAGUCUGAAAUAUUUAUUAUCUGGAUCCUUACAGGGAAAAAAAGGACUGAGGUGGAUACUAAUAUUAAUCCUUAUUAUAAACUGUCCCCCGUAAGAGAAAGUUGUGGACAACAACAGGAGACCUGGGACACAGAGGUGAAGUCAGUGCCUUGGGUGCUGUGGGUGGGGGCACCCUUCCGCAAGGUAAGACUUACGGGGCCGAACAUCUGUACUGGACUUGUGGCCAACACUCGGCCUCUGUCCGCUGGUGCCAAAUAGAAACUCGGAGACAGAGUUUUGGGUGAAGGAGAAAAAGAGCCUUUAUUGCUUUGCCAGGCAAAGGAGGCCACAGCCGACGGAGGCCUUAGAGACUGCGUCUGCCAUGGGGAAGAAUGGCAGGGAGUUGUAUGGUAAAAAGGAGAAAAGCAGGUUUUCAGCUGGGAAUCAGGGUUGGGGCAAGCAUGCAUUCUCCUUCCUGUGGGGGACUCAGUCGUCAAACUGGAGUCAGGAGAUCUUGGCCUGAUCAUGAUGGUGGUUUUCUGGGUUCCUGCCCAGAAAAACAGUACCUGGGAAAAGGGCAUAUUGAUCAGAGAUUAGAACAAACUAGGAAGGUUCCUGAAAGACACCCUGUGCUAAUAAUCUUUAAUCCACAGGCAGUUGUGCUCAGGGGGCCUGAUCUUUAGUUUACACGUGAUUGUGUCUGCAGUGCGAUUGAGCCAGGAAGAAGGACACGGAGGACUCUAUGUUGUGCAGUUUUAAAAGGAUUCAUUUCUCAAAGAAGCAUAAGGAAUACAGCUUUUCUCUUAGGUGAGUCCUUAUGUGCACCCUUUUCGGGGGAACCAGGACCCUGCCCCACGGCUGUGCUAUUGCUUCUUGGUUGGUUCCUCCCUUGUCUCUGCAUCCCCUCCCUUGCCUGAUCAGCACCUGUCUGAACCUGCCUGUCAGGGAAGGCCAUGGAGGCUGAAUGAGGCCCAUUUCCUAAAAAUAAGAUGGGGGACAAAGAAAGGCUUCUGUGCCCAGGAGCCCCACAGGGCCCUGCUCCGUUACAAACUCUGUACCCAACUCUGGGAUCCGUGACAAGCCCACAAGAUUCAAAUCCGCUAACACUGUCUCACGCUGGAACGAAUCUGAGGGUCCAACUCAGAAAGCAGUAAAAAGAGAAGGUCGUGACUAUCAGACAAGUGAUGCAGUUAGGAUACAUGUUAUAAAGAAGAAAUGGAAGAUGUAAGUAGGGUUUGAUAUCCAGGAAACAGGUAGGAUGGAGAGAGAAACUCUCACGCAUUCAGUCCUUUGACAAAUACUAGAUGUCUGUUAGGUUCAACCACUCUUUCUCUGUCUAUAGGCAACAUACUUACUCUUUGGAAUUUGUACAUUGCUGGGGAAAGGAGACUGGCCAUACAAACACAUGGAUAUGCAGUCUACCGAGAGGAAAUCGUGUUAUGAGGAGUAUGAGAUGUGGUAGGCUGACAGGAACGGCAGUGGGAACGCACUUUAUCUAAGCUGUUCAAAAAGGGCAGAGACCGGAAGAGGAGAGGGAGUCAGCUAAGCAGGUGACUUGGUAGAGAGCCUUACAGUCAGGCAAACAGCACGUGCAAAUGUCCUGAGCUGGUAGUGGGCUUGGCCUGUCAGAGCAGCAGUGGGAAGCCGGUGCAGUUGGACGGGUGACUCAGGCAGUGGUCAGUGAUGAGGCUCUUGCCUGCGACAUAAAGAAUCUGGAAUCUUCUCUGCGUGGGGAAGAAACCGUGAGCGGGUUUGAAGGGAGGGUGACUUGAUAGACUACGUGCGAACAAGGGGGAUCUCCGGCUGGGCGGAGAAGGACCCUGGGGGUGAUUAUCGAAGUGGGGAAGCCGGUUAGGAGGUAGGUGCAACACCCCUCCCCGGCCCCGUGUGAUUUAGUGGGAAGUGGCACAGGCAGCAGUGGGGCGUGAGGUUCUGAAUGUUGUUUCAAGGUGCAGGUCUUCUAGAAUUUCUUAGAGGGUAGAUGUGCGGGGUAUGACGGCAGGCUGUGCCAAAGCUCUGGUCGAGGGUUGUGGCCUGAGCCCUGAGGGGACCGGCAUCGACUGAGGUGGCGAGAGGAGCAGGUCAGGGACAAAAUCAAGUGUUUAUUUUAUUUUUAACUCUGGUGUAUGAAUUGCACUAACAGCAAGGAUGUGUGGGCCAGUUCCGUCGAUAGAGACCCCCGCAGAGUCACCGUGCCCUCCAAGUCGCACACGGUCUGAGUCCCACCAUCCAGGUGUUAGGAUUCAUCCUGAGCGUCCUUUCUGAUGUGCGAAGAUCAGAUUAUCUUUAAGAAACGGAAAUCUAUAAACAGUCUGUCAAAACGCAGCUUUUUCCUCGUUAGCGUUGGAAUCUGGUGCAUCAAUCAUACACCUUCCGCGGCGUGGUCCCCCUCACUGGUGAGGCGAGAAAUACAAGGCGAUGUGGCAGAGCGACGCCCUUUUCCCCUCAGGCCUGUGGAAGGUAGAGAGCCGCUCCAGGUUACUGAUUUGCAUAAUAGUUCUCCAGUAUUUUCCUUUCUGGGUGGCUAACUCAGCUCGGCCCCCGUGGAGGGCAAUUAAAUUUCACCUAUUAAAAUUUAAGAGGCAGAGACCUUCUUGUUAGAUCAAUACCAGUGGUUUCGUUGAGUGGAAAUUCAUGGUUUACUCUGAGCAUGCGGUCGGGGUGGGCGAGGAUGUGCCACACAGGUGUCCAAGGACCCAGUCUCCUCCGUGUGGUACCCUGGGGUUUCGAGACCUUCACUGGACCGUCUGCAUCUGGCCUGAUAGGAGGUGGGAGAGAGAGAGGAGGUAAGGGCUGUGGGGAGGGCUGAUGGCUGGACCUGCAAGUGGCACAGACACGUGUGUGUGUGCGCGUGCAUGUGCGUGUGUGUGCUCACCCACACACCCGAUAGUGCCUAAGUGACGCCGGUGGUUAGGUGUGUUAUAGGAGGAUUUACUGAAAAUGAUCAAGGAAAGAGUUUCUGGGAAGAGGAUUCAGAGGUUCAACAUUAUAUGACUUUUUUAGGAGUUCCCAUUGUGGCUCAGUGGAUUAAGGACCUGACGUAGUCUCUGUGAGGAUGUGAGUUUGAUCCCUGGCCUCACUCCGUGGAUGAAGGAUCCAGCGUUGCCACAAGCUGCAGUGUAGGUCACAGAGGCAGCUUGGAUCUGGUGAUACCAUGGCUGUGGUUGCAGCUCCAAGUCGAGCCCUAGCCUGGGAACUUCCAUAUGCUGCAGGUGUGGCUAUGAAAAGGAAAAAAAUUUUUUCCUUUAAACCAACCAUGUCAGGUCUUCUUUC